UUUUAUGGAGAGUUUGAUCCUGGCUCAGGAUGAACGCUGGCGGCGUGCCUAAUACAUGCAAGUCGAGCGAACAGACGAGGAGCUUGCUCCUCUGACGUUAGCGGCGGACGGGUGAGUAACACGUGGAUAACCUACCUAUAAGACUGGGAUAACUACGGGAAACCGGAGCUAAUACCGGAUAAUAUAUUGAACCGCAUGGUUCAAUAGUGAAAGACGGUUUUGCUGUCACUUAUAGAUGGAUCCGCGCCGCAGUAGCAAGUUGG
Molecule: ribosomal RNA, 263 nt
Filed under: Staphylococcus epidermidis
Lineage: Bacteria; Bacillati; Bacillota; Bacilli; Caryophanales; Staphylococcaceae
Description: partial 16S ribosomal RNA
Rfam family: Bacterial small subunit ribosomal RNA
Source: RNAcentral